Non-coding RNA from Acanthosepion pharaonis, 114 nucleotides. NCBI's taxonomy places the organism in Eukaryota, Metazoa, Mollusca, Cephalopoda, Sepiida, Sepiidae. The record is from the annotation of a GenBank genome assembly.
UUACGGCCACAUCACGUUGAAACACCGUUUCCCGUAUUAUCAUCAAAGUUAAGCAACGUCGAGCUUGGUCAGUACCUAGAUGGGUGAGCGGUUGGUAACACCAGGUGCUGUAAG